Long non-coding RNA from Dermochelys coriacea (leatherback sea turtle), 147 nucleotides. RefSeq lists it as uncharacterized. The record is from RefSeq and is a predicted model, not a curated record. NCBI's taxonomy places the organism in Eukaryota, Metazoa, Chordata, Testudines, Dermochelyidae. The transcript has 4 exons.
AUCAGGGAUGGAGGGUGUCCUCUUGCCUCCAUGGGUCACAACUGAGAAUACCAAAUUCAGGACAAGCUGCUGGAAAAAAGGGGCAGACACACACCAAAACUGGUAGUUAUUCUUCCAUGAGAAUACCAAACCAGCUACUUUCUGUUU